This 457-nucleotide unclassified non-coding RNA is filed under the name Acmanthera latifolia. Its description in RNAcentral is "partial contains external transcribed spacer and 18S ribosomal RNA". Lineage: Eukaryota; Viridiplantae; Streptophyta; Magnoliopsida; Malpighiales; Malpighiaceae. The record is from RNAcentral.
GGGCGUGUGAGUGGUGUUUGGUUUGUCGGGAUGGUAGGCUCCGUGCUAGCGCAUCGAACUGCCAGCCCGCAUUCCACUUCGUGGCCUCGAGCACGAUCAGUUCUUGCUCAGGGAUUAUGGUGUUCCUGUAUUUGAUACCCACGGUGGCGGAAAUCGGCUGAUAGCGAUUCGAUUCUCCGCUCGGUGCCUCCCUCGGGGGGUGCUGGGCGGACUAUGCAGCUUAGCCCGUCUUUCCUGGCACGCUUGUUGCGCUGCCUUGGACAGUGCGGGUUUAAUGCUCGUGCUUUCGGAUGCGGAAAAUUGCGUGGGCGGAGGGAGUUCGUCCUCCCUCCCGUAAGCCCAACUUGAGAAUGUCCCUCGAUUCGCACGACAACCUUUGCUCGCUGCGUUUUCCCCCUGCUCCCUCGGCGCGCGGGCGAAGCGUGCGGGCAUCCGGUGUCGCAGAAGGAACGCUACC